GGCCUUGUAGUUCAACUGGAUAGAAUAUCAGAUUUCGGCUCUGAGGGUUGGGGGUUCGAAUCCCUCCAAGGCCACCA
Molecule: transfer RNA, 77 nt
Filed under: Flavobacteriales bacterium TMED288
Lineage: Bacteria; Pseudomonadati; Bacteroidota; Flavobacteriia; Flavobacteriales
Also listed under: 1 other name
Description: tRNA-Arg
Rfam family: tRNA
About the family: Transfer RNA (tRNA) molecules are approximately 80 nucleotides in length. Their secondary structure includes four short double-helical elements and three loops (D, anti-codon, and T loops).
Source: RNAcentral